AUGUCCUUCUCCUCCGCAGUCCCCUCUUCUGGCCUCAACUACAACACCUCAAAACCCCUUAGUCGGACGAACUAUGUUCUCUGGCGAGUCCAAGCACGAUCCCAGAUACUGGGCGCCGGCUUGUUUGGCUAUAUAGAUCGGACUAUAGAGGAGCCUCCAAAAACAAUCAUCAGCAAAGAUAAAGAUGGCAAAGAACAGGUAGUUCCCAACCCUGCUCAUAAUCCUUGGCUAGUUCAAGAUCAGCAAAUCGUAGCAUAUCUUCUCCGAAACUUGUCCAAGCAGGUGCUUGUUCAAGUAGCCUCGCUUGAAUCAUCACAUGCAAUUUAGACCACGCUAGCAAAUAUGUUUUCU
This 351-nucleotide ribosomal RNA is filed under the name Triticum aestivum (bread wheat). RNAcentral's name for it is "partial small subunit ribosomal RNA". The record is from RNAcentral. Lineage: Eukaryota; Viridiplantae; Streptophyta; Magnoliopsida; Poales; Poaceae.